AUGUCGAAUAGCAGCUCAAAGAAGAGUCAGAAGAACCAUCUACUUCCGAUACAGCAGCAACCAACAGAACGGCGCAAGACUGAUGCCACAAGCAGGAUUGAUCCCAUACGCCGAAAGAAGAUCUGCCGUUCCUGUCAACCGCUGCUCGCCGCUGCUCUCGUAAUCGAAUGAGUUUGCAGCUAAUAAUUCUACUUCAACUUAAAGACUUGGUCAAGACGUCAGACUUAGUCCAUCCAUAAUCAUCCAUCGGUAGUUAAGAAACCCUGACGGAUUGGUAUAGGCGAUUGUAUAGCAUCUAGCGGAGAAAUUCUUUACUGCCCAUCUGCCAUUGCCAUUCAUCGUCUGCUACUUAAUGAUUUUUUCAUUUCUUGCGCCAGCAAGGUGUGCAGUGUGCAUUUCUAUGUGAUCUAUUUGCUUAUAAACUUGACUCUCUUGAGAGAAUGCAAAUUUUAGUGUUUUGUCGGAAUAUACAUCAUCUACAAUUACAAAUAAAACACAAGUCAGGUUUCACUUAGUAUAUGCUCCUAUUGAGAAGAAUGGCGGGUAUCCGGAAGGUGAUGUUAGCCGAUGGCCUCAACUCAGCUACACAAAAUGCAAAUGUUCAUGAACGGACCCCACGGCAUUUACUCCGCAAUCCAGCAGUGAUCAACUUGUGUGAACCCAGUUCCAGUGUUCCAGCGUCAAGACACACACCCUCCGGUAAAACGGAAGAGCCAUCAAUCGACAUUCGAUGGCCGGAGCUGAAAGGAGGACGACAUUUUGGGCCGGCCUGGCUCUCAUGGGCGUUCGAUUCGGCCCUUUAGCCCGUCUUACUUGGGAGGAAAACAGCUGGGAUAAUAUGGAACCCAUUACGUAAUUGUUGGCUGUUUAGUCAUAAUCCAAAUAUUGAAGCCCUCAUCAGUUCCAAUUCUUUGCUGCCACUAUAUUAAAGUGGACUGUGAGUGAGUGUGUGUGCCACUCUAGAGGUUGCAGAAAUCACCAAAAUAACUUCUCAUUUAAGAGUUAAGACGAUCUAGGAUUGAUUGUUUUGAGUUGAAUCCUUUACCGCUGUUCCAAAGACUUGAUUCUUUGGUGAAACUGAGGAGAGAAUGCUGCAAUUCAAGACUGGCUGAUAAAUUGUGUAGUUGUUAGAUAAAUUAAAAGUGCAUAUAUCUGGGCUCCCUUCUUUUCUGUGGCCCCGUUUCCCUAACUAACCACUAACCAACGCCCGCCG
Molecule: long non-coding RNA, 1213 nt
Filed under: Daphnia pulex (common water flea)
Lineage: Eukaryota; Metazoa; Arthropoda; Branchiopoda; Diplostraca; Daphniidae
Description: uncharacterized LOC124204025, transcript variant X2
Source: RNAcentral